Molecule: long non-coding RNA, 262 nt
Filed under: Elaeis guineensis (African oil palm)
Lineage: Eukaryota; Viridiplantae; Streptophyta; Magnoliopsida; Arecales; Arecaceae
Description: long non-coding RNA (EGUI_LNC079398)
Source: RNAcentral
GUGAACAGUAGGUCGGGCUUAACUAAGAAGUGUGGACAAUAACUGUUAGGUGAGCUCACAUGACUUAGAGACUAAGUCACUAUAAUAUGCUUAGAAAAGUAUUUGAGUAAAGAGUUGCCUACUCAUCGAUGUGCAUGUUACCAAUAACUGUUAGGUGAGGUGCAUGUCAUCGGUGAGACCGCAGCACUCAUUAGGAAUCUUUUAUUGUGUUAGGAUUUUCAUUUUCUUCCUAGAGAGUGAAGGGAUCUAAUAAAUUAGUGGG